Misgurnus anguillicaudatus (oriental weatherfish) is the source of this 788-nucleotide non-coding RNA. The record is from RefSeq and is a predicted model, not a curated record. NCBI's taxonomy places the organism in Eukaryota, Metazoa, Chordata, Actinopteri, Cypriniformes, Cobitidae.
UCAACCUGUCAGCGCAGCAAGAAGUCGAACACACGUAUAUGCGGGCGCGCGCCUCCGUCCUCGUGAGUUCAAAGUGGAUUUUAACCGUUUACCUCAGACGACAGUUUUCAUUUCUAUGGCAAAUUCUAAGGUCAUUUUCUUGUUGUGUUUUGAUGUUUUCCAUUGGCUGAAGAGCAGAUUACCAUGCAAUUUGAAGAAGUGUGAUAAAAUACACAGAGGUGAAGUCAUGUGUCUUUCCAGAUGCCCAAUCUGUACCACUCAAAAAGUAAUGAAGUGACAGUGUACCAUGACAAAAAAUCUAAGAUGAGCCUUUGCUUUGCCAGAUCACCUGUGGUCGAGAUGUCUGCUAACAAGAUGCCUUGUUGGUCUGGUCGAGUUUGAAAUCUCUCACAGACAGUCCAGAAGGUCUGGAGUCCAUCUUAGCUUUUAUUGAACCCAUCAGCAACCAUCAAGAGAAAUUGGAGGCAGCUGAGCUAAAUUGCAGAUAUUGAUGCAAAUGAUCUGUAUAAUAUGCUUUCAUCGGGUUUUAAGUACAGUAUGAGCCAGAAUGGAAGGGUGUUGGUGGCCAUAAGAAGACUGUGAGCUAAACCUACAACAAAAUUCAUAUUUGCAGUUUUCCUAUAUUUUUUUUCUAUUCAGAUGAAUAAAAUGACUUUUAAAUAUUAUUUUGUUUUCAUAUUUUAUGUUUUUAUUCUGUAUUUGGAAUAUUCAACUUCCGCACUACUAACUGGAAACCUAACUGUUUGAAAGAAUUUGUUUUUAUCUAUAAAAGAUCAAUUUUAACAGCU